UUGCUCGCUUCGGCAGCACGUAUACUAAAAUUGGAACGAUACAGAGAAGAUUAGCAUGGCCCCUGCACAAGGAUGACAUGCAAAUUCAUGAAGCAUUCCAUAUUUAA
Molecule: small nuclear RNA, 107 nt
Filed under: Choloepus hoffmanni (Hoffmann's two-fingered sloth)
Lineage: Eukaryota; Metazoa; Chordata; Mammalia; Pilosa; Megalonychidae
Source: RNAcentral